UAGUGGCGAACGGGUGAGUAACACGUGGGCAAUCUGCCCUUCACUCUGGGACAAGCCCUGGAAACGGGGUCUAAUACCGGAUACAACCACUGACCUCAUGGUCGNGUGGUGGAAAGCUCCGGCGGUGAAGGAUGAGCCCGCGGCCUAUCAGCUUGUUGGUGAGGUAAUGGCUCACCAAGGCGACGACGGGUAGCCGGCCUGAGAGGGCGACCGGCCACACUGGGACUGAGACACGGCCCAGACUCCUACGGGAGGCAGCAGUGGGGAAUAUUGCACAAUGGGCGAAAGCCUGAUGCAGCGACGCCGCGUGAGGGAUGACGGCCUUCGGGUUGUAAACCUCUUUCAGCAGGGAAGAAGCGAAAGUGACGGUACCUGCAGAAGAAGCGCCGGCUAACUACGUGCCAGCAGCCGCGGUAAUACGUAGGGCGCAAGCGUUGUCCGGAAUUAUUGGGCGUAAAGAGCUCGUAGGCGGCUUGUCACGUCGGGUGUGAAAGCCCGGGGCUUAACCCCGGGUCUGCAUUCGAUACGGGCUAGCUAGAGUGUGGUAGGGGAGAUCGGAAUUCCU
Molecule: ribosomal RNA, 565 nt
Filed under: Streptomyces sp. 387A03
Lineage: Bacteria; Bacillati; Actinomycetota; Actinomycetes; Kitasatosporales; Streptomycetaceae
Description: bacterial SSU rRNA
Rfam family: Bacterial small subunit ribosomal RNA
Source: RNAcentral